This 6446-nucleotide small RNA is filed under the name Pongo abelii (Sumatran orangutan). RNAcentral describes it as "processed transcript". The record is from RNAcentral. Lineage: Eukaryota; Metazoa; Chordata; Mammalia; Primates; Hominidae.
GGAAGGCGCCGCGGCCUCGGCUUGGUUCGGCUGGGCUGGCUUCCCCCACCCGGCAACCCCUCCCCCAGGCAGCCUGCUGUGGGGCGGGGCGGGGGUCGGGCCGAGGGUCCCCAGGGAAGAAGGAGAGCAGGGCCCGUCUCUCCGGGGGAGACGACUCCCCCAACGGCCAUUCCCCAUCCUCUGCCAGUCCCGGGAAAGACUCAGCCCCUUGACUCGGCGCUUCAGCCAGGCCCUGGUCAGGGGACACGACUUGGCCAGGCCCAGGGGAUCCUCCAGGCCUCACGCCAAGCCUUGCCCCCAGCCAGGAAGCCCGCGGUGAUCGGGCUGCUGGACGUAUUCACUCCUGAUGAGACCCUGGAUGACUUCACGGACUUUUACCUGGUGAUGCCGUUCAUGGGCACCGACCUGGGCAAGCUCAUGAAACAUGAGAAGCUAGGCGAGGACCGGAUCCAGUUUCUCGUGUACCAGAUGCUGAAGGGGCUGAGGUAUAUCCACGCUGCUGGCAUCAUCCACAGAGACCUGAAGCCCGGCAACCUGGCUGUGAACGAAGACUGUGAGCUGAAGAUCCUGGACUUCGGCCUGGCCAGGCAGGCAGACAGUGAGAUGACUGGGUACGUGGUGACCCGGUGGUACCGGGCUCCCGAGGUCAUCUUGAAUUGGAUGCGCUACACGCAGACGGUGGACAUCUGGUCUGUGGGCUGCAUCAUGGCAGAGAUGAUCACAGGCAAGACGCUGUUCAAGGGCAGCGACCACCUGGACCAGCUGAAGGAGAUCAUGAAGGUGACGGGGACGCCUCCGGCUGAGUUUGUGCAGCGGCUGCAGAGCGAUGAGGCCAAGAACUACAUGAAGGGCCUCCCCGAAUUGGAGAAGAAGGAUUUUGCCUCCAUCCUCACCAAUGCAAGCCCUCUGGCUGUGAACCUCCUGGAGAAGAUGCUGGUGCUGGAUGCGGAGCAGCGGGUGACAGCGGCCGAGGCGCUGGCCCAUCCCUACUUUGAGUCCCUGCACGACACGGAAGAUGAGCCCCAGGUCCAGAAGUAUGAUGACUCCUUUGACGACGUGGACCGCACACUGGAUGAAUGGAAGCGUGUUACUUACAAAGAGGUGCUCAGCUUCAAGCCUCCCCAGCAGCUGGGGGCCAGGGUCUCCAAGGAGACGGCUCUGUGAAGAUCUCUGGGCUCCAGGGUGGCAGUGAGGACCACCUUCACCUUCCUCCUGAGAGGGGACUCUCGUUGCCACCUUGACCUUGACUGGGGUUUGCAUCCCGAGGCAUCCAUCAGAGCAGAGCCCCGGGUUCCAUGGACCCUCCUCCCCACAGCCAUGACUCUGCUCUUGGGUGCCCAUCAUGGAGGAGCACCUGAACUUUCUGGACAGGACCUCUGGCUGACCUGGGGAUGGCCUCUGAUCCCUGGAGCAGUGGCCCACUUGCCUGGUGCCCUCAGAAACCUCAGAGCUGGUGGGGCUCCAUAUCAGGCCUUGGCCUCUGAGCCCUGCCUGCUCUGGGCCAUGCAGAGGAAUGACAGAGGGCGGGCACAGGGCACCAACUCAGGGACAUCCCCUCUCCUGGGCGACGUCAGUGGACCUUCCUGCACCCCUAGCCUGGAAUGUAAAUUAGCUGUGUGGUGCCCACGUGGCUGGAAGGAAAUAGACCCUUUUGUAGCUCCCUGCUCUGGCUGUGCGUCCUCAUGCUGGGUCCCACCUUAAGACCUCCAAGCUCUUGGCCUGCAUGUAGAGGAGGCUGGCCUGAUAGCUCAGACCCUCAGAGUCAGUAGGGGGGCCUGAGCAUCCCAUCUCUCCCAGGCCACAAAGCUGGUGCCCACUUCCCCAGGCCUGUGCCAGUGAGCUUCGAACCCCCACCUUAGGGCUUAGCCCCUCUCCUUUUACCAGGUGACCUGCUAAUGGCUUAGACUCUAAGCCACUGUGUGUGGAUCCUGAAGCCAGACCCAGGGGCAGGGUGUGAUGGGGAGGAGCGUUAGGAUCUACCCUAGCUCUCUGCACCUUCCAAGGCCAGCAGGUCCCUGGGGGGAGGGGGCACACUGGACACGUUCAGACCCCUCUGGCCCCUGUGGCGAAGUGGUGAGCACCAGCAGGUCCCUGGGGGGAGGGGGCACGCUGGGCACGUUGAGACCCUUCUGUCCCGUGGUGGAGUGCUGAGCGAGGAGGGCUGGGUUUCAUUCUUGAUCAAACUUCUAGCCCCACCUACUACCGUGCUCCAGUGGUAUCUUCAUGCCCAGGCCGCCCUCUGCAGGCCACUCGGUGUUUCCAAGGGUGGCGGCUGGAACACAGGCCAUGGGCACCUCCGAACCUGUCCCAGGGCAGGGGUUACAGCAGAGGGACCAGUGAGGGGCAGGGCAGGCCAGGCGUCCUCAGUGGACAUGCCCACAGCUGGCCCAGCCAAAUCGGACCUGAUGAGCUACUACGAAAGAUAGGCCUUCUCUGCCCAGCGACCCUCAUGCCUCUCCAGGGCAUCCGGGCAUGGGGGACGUGACCACCAUCAACUCCGGAGCCACGCUGACUUGUGGCAUGGCUGCCGUCCACACUGGGCCCAGCUUCCUGCCAUAGGUGGCCUGAGUACUGGGGGCCUCAAAACUGUGUGAGCCAGCUGGAUGUGAACUCCGGCGGGGGCAGGGUGGCCCCUGGGCUCCAGGGGGACUCAGGUCUCCUCUCGGGCACCUUGCUCCGUGGCUGUGCCCGUGUCUCCUGCCUUCCUCACUUCCUCUGUCCCCCGCAACUCUACCGCAACUCCGGUCUAGCGUCCCCACCUCCACCGACCUUGACUCUGCCCUUGGGCCAGGGGUCGUCUUGGAGCUAGAACCGGACUCUCACUCCCUCCUUAAACCUCCGGGGCGGUGCUGCGCCUCGAUGCAGCCACGACCGCCUCGCCGCGGGCUCCACCCGCCUCGUGGCCUUUGCCCUGCGGACCUCUAGCCCUCCUCGCCCUUCACCCCAGGUCUUCCUGCGCCCGGGCCGGGUGGGCCUUGGGGCUGCGCUGGACCCUGACCCGGGAGCUGGGGCAGAACGGGGCUCUCAUGGGCAGGCUCUGCCACGGGCGUUCGGGUGGGGCUGCGGCGACCACCUGCGCAGUGCCUGCGGACCCCGCCCCUCUUGGACGGAAUCGGGGCGGGGCCGAGGGGGAGGUGGAGCCGCAGCGCAGCUCCGAGGGCUGGCGGCUCCGGGCGCCCUGGCUUCCGCGCCCACUGGUUGCUCGCUCCGGGGCAGGGCUCGCGAUAGCGAGCGGGAGCAGGGCGCGGGGCGGCACCGGGUCCGAAGCGAGGAAGCCGGAAGCCAGGCGCGGAGAGCCUCCCCCUUCGACUGCGGCCUCGCUUGGCGCCUUCUGCGCGCUUGGGAUCCCGGAGCCUACCUAGGUUCUGCGUGCUCCCGCCCAGGCCGGUGCCCGCUGCCCGCCUGCGCCCCAGGCGGGUCUCAGGCCCCGGCUGCUCCCGGCCGAAGGUGGGGACGGGCAGUGGCAGGCACCGCUAGCGAGGGCGUUUGGGGACCCAGGGUGACCACAGCGCAGCCAUGGGGACCGCGCUUGUGUACCAUGAGGACAUGACGGCCACCCGGCUGCUCUGGGACGAGUAAGUGGGACCUGGCCGAGGUGGGGUGCGGGGAGGGACCUCUGGACUGAACUCCUCAUCUGCCCCAGCCCCGAGUGCGAGAUUGAGCGUCCUGAGCGCCUGACCGCAGCCCUGGACCGCCUGCGGCAGCGCGGCCUGGAACAGAGGUGUCUGCUGUUGUCAGCCCGCGAGGCCUCGGAAGAGGAGCUGGGCCUGGUGCACAGGUCAGGACGGGGGCGGGCCCCACGAUGGGGGCGGGGGGCGGUCAGCCCACCUAUAAACCUAAGAACCUGGGCCUACCCCGAGCCUGCCAGCCUCUAAUACAGAGCCUCUCCCUGUGCACCUCGGGUGGGCUCACAGGCUUGAGGAAGUGACAGGGUGGCCACUCCCACCACGAAUCCCAGCUCCCCGCCCCCCGCCCCCCUGCUCCUGCUGGUGACCCUGCCUCUCCUGCCUGCCCAUGUGCAUGCAGCCCAGAGUAUGUAUCCCUGGUCAGGGAGACCCAGGUCCUAGGCAAGGAGGAGCUGCAGGCGCUGUCCGGACAGUUCGACGCCAUCUGCUUCCACCCGGUGCGUGUCCCCGGACACACUCACCUGUGCACACACAUGCACGUGCCUCUGCGCGUUCACAGCCAUGGCCGCCAACCCCAGCCGGUGUCCCCUGGUCCAUACACGUGACAUUGCCCUGCACACCUGCUUGCUGGCACUGCCAGAGCCUGGGGCUGGCCUGUUCUGCUCAGCAGCUGGUGUCUUGCAGCCUGGCACAAGUGUGGGUAUGGCCUGCAAAGGGCAGCAGGGAAGGCAGGGGGUUCAUCUGCGCCCCUGCACCCACAGAGUACCUUUCACUGUGCGCGGCUGGCCGCAGGGGCUGGACUGCAGCUGGUGGACGCUGUGCUCACGGGAGCUGUGCAAAAUGGGCUUGCCCUGGUGAGGCCCCCAGGGCACCACAGCCAGAGGGCGGCUGCCAACGGGUUCUGUGUGUUCAACAACGUGGCCAUAGCAGCUGCACAUGCCAAGCAGAAACACGGGCUACACAGGAUCCUCGUCGUGGACUGGGAUGUGCAUCAUGGCCAGGGGAUCCAGUAUCUCUUUGAGGAUGACCCCAGCAUCCUUUACUUCUCCUGGCACCGCUAUGAGCAUGGGCGCUUCUGGCCUUUCCUGCGAGAGUCAGAUGCCGACGCAGUGGGGCGGGGACAGGGCCUCGGCUUCACUGUCAACCUGCCCUGGAACCAGGUGCCCACCCUCAAGCCCCCUCCCCCUGGGCCCCUCCCCUGCCCCACAGUUCACCCUCAAGCCCCAGGUCCCCACCCAGCCCCCUUCCCCUGGGCCCCUCCCCUGCCCCACAGUUCAGGAUGUAGCCUGGGAUGUCCUGCCAGGUCGGGAUGGGAAACGCUGACUACGUGGCUGCCUUCCUGCACCUGCUGCUCCCACUGGCCUUUGAGUUUGACCCUGAGCUGGUGCUGGUCUCGGCAGGAUUUGACUCAGCCAUCGGGGACCCUGAGGUGAGGGCCUUGCCUGGCCAGGGAGGGCUUCUGGGGUCCUGGGGCCCAGGUCCCCCAUCACACAUGGCUCUGGUUCCAGGGGCAAAUGCAGGCCACGCCAGAGUGCUUCGCCCACCUCACACAGCUGCUGCAGGUGCUGGCCGGCGGCCGGGUCUGCGCCGUGCUGGAGGGCGGCUACCACCUGGAGUCACUGGCGGAGUCAGUGUGCAUGACAGUACAGACGCUGUUGGGUGACCCGGCUCCACCCCUGUCAGGGUCAAUGGUGCCAUGUCAGAGGUGCGAGGGGAGGUAGGGCAGGCGGGGCUGGGGUGUGAGGCCAGGUGUCACGACUGUUGUGUCUCCCCCACAGUGCCCUGGAGUCCAUCCAGAGUGCCCGUGCUGCCCAGGCCCCGCACUGGAAGAGCCUCCAGCUGCAAGGUCAGUGUGGCCGGGUGCUAGGCUGCAGGAUCCCACCUCGGGCUCCCGUGCAGUGGCUAUGACUCCGAACUGUCCCUAGAUGUGACCCCUGUGCUGAUGAGCCCCAGCAUUCUCUCCCCAGAGGAGAGGCCUCCACCUCUGCUGCCUGGGGGUCCAGUGUGUAAGGGAGCUGCAUCUGCACCGAGCUCCCUCCUGGACCAGCCGUGCCUCUGCCCUGCACCCUCUGUCCGCACCGCUGUUGCCCUGACAGCACCAGAUAUCACAUUGGUCCUGCCCCCUGACGUCAUCCAACAGGAAGGGUCAGCCCUAAGGGAGGAGACAGAAGCCUGGGCCAGGCCACACGAGUCCCUGGCCCGGGAGGAGGCCCUCGCUGCACUUGGGAAGCUCCUGUACCUCUUAGAUGGGAUGCUGGAUGGGCAGGUGAACAGUGGUAUAGCAGCCACUCCAGCCUCUGCUGCAGCAGCCACCCUGGAUGUGGCUAUUCGGAGAGGCCUGUCUCAUGGAGCCCAGAGGCUGCUGUGUGUGGCCCUGGGACAGCUGGACCGGCCUCCGGACCUCGCCCAUGACGGGAGGAGUCUGUGGCUGAACAUCAGGGGCAAGGAGGCGGCUGCCCUAUCCAUGUUCCAUGUCUCCACGCCACUGCCAGCGAUGACCGGUGGUUUCCUGAGCUGCAUCUUGGGCUUGGUGCUGCCCCUGGCCUACAGCUUCCAGCCUGACCUGGUGCUGGUGGCGCUGGGGCCUGGCCAUGGCCUGCAGGGCCGCCACGCUGCACUCCUGGCUGCAAUGCUUCGGGGGCUGGCAGGGGGCCGAGUCCUGGCCCUCCUGGAGGAGAGGACGUCCGGGCUCUGAUGUACCUGAGAGGGCAGCUGGAGCCUCAGUGGAAGAUGUUGCAGUGCCAUCCUCACCUGGUGGCUUGAAAUCGGCCAAGGUGGGAGCAUUUACACCGCAGAAAUGACACCGCACGCCAGCGCCCC